GGUCCGGUAGUUCAGUUUGGUUAGAACGCCUGCCUGUCACGCAGGAGGUCGCGAGUUCGAGUCUCGUCCGGACCGCCA
RNAcentral lists this transfer RNA (78 nucleotides) under Bacteroidota bacterium. RNAcentral's name for it is "Bacteroidetes bacterium tRNA-Asp". It matches the Rfam family "tRNA". From Rfam's summary of the family: Transfer RNA (tRNA) molecules are approximately 80 nucleotides in length. Their secondary structure includes four short double-helical elements and three loops (D, anti-codon, and T loops). RNAcentral also lists the same sequence under 2 other names. Lineage: Bacteria; Pseudomonadati; Bacteroidota. The record is from RNAcentral.